This is a long non-coding RNA of Myotis daubentonii (Daubenton's bat), 1122 nucleotides long. RefSeq lists it as uncharacterized. The record is from RefSeq and is a predicted model, not a curated record. NCBI's taxonomy places the organism in Eukaryota, Metazoa, Chordata, Mammalia, Chiroptera, Vespertilionidae.
CAGGGCCCCUCCAGCCCCAGAGGCCGGUCUGGUGGACAGAAAGGGCCGGAGGAGCUGGUGUCAGGCCUCCGGCUCCCACACAAAAGAAAGGGGCUUGAAGUUUUUGUCUGUGAGCACAAAAUGAAGCAGACAAAAAAACACAACAUCAACAAAGCCAGAAGGAUGUUCCAGAAAGAACCAAAAAAGGAACUACUGACGGAGUAACGGUGCGGGGGAUGAGAAGCUCGUUUCCCCGAAAACGCUGCGUGGGAGUGGAACCCGCUUGGGACACCUGCGCACCCUCUCUCGCCAGCAGGGCCACGGCCGCCAGCUCUACACAGCCGCUUCCCCUCCACCUAGAUGUGUGUCCCGGGUUUCGUUCGGUUGAUCGAUGGAGACAAGUGACCCCACGGUGAGAUUGUUGAAUGGCACUAGAAUGGACAUUUCAAAGGAUAACCUUGAAAAAUAAAGGAGCAAUGAAGUUCUUCUCCCCUCACUCAGUGGCCAGUCCGCACACCGUUCAGGGGUGUGAUCAACUUCAUCGAAAGGAAUCGUCCUCAUGAAAAAAGAGAGACUCAGUGAGACACAAUGGACACGCCACAGGGACGUGGAACACGUGGCCGCUGGGGUAGAUUACAAACAACGGAGGCGCAGACAGUGAGUCGGUUGGGCCGGGUGUUACCCAGACACGAGCCAGUAUCCCGUCACCGUUAUCAAUAGUGGGUGCAGCAGCCCAGCAGCCGGACCUCAAGACGUUUGCCUACACGGCAGGCAGGUCCUGCUCACAGGCAGAAACUUGACAGAGCAAGUGGCCUAGAAAUGUUUGCGUCUUGAAGGCCUCAGCCGUUGGGCCACGUGUUUAACAGCGUUGGCCCCGGAAGGUUCCACUUUCUUGCAUCGUGACGUUGGAUGGGCCUUAACGUGAGCCUUGGACAGUGCCUCUGUGGGCAGUGCCCUCCACGCCUCUGCUGUCUCACAUCCAUUUGCAGUGGCUGUCACCGGCUGUCAGCCCAGGCAGGCAGCACAUGGCAGGCCCGUUCAGAUAGGCUGCCGAGGGAGAAGCGGGUUGAGUUUGCACCCAGGCCUCAUGAACUCUCAGUCCUGCUGGGCUGGCCUUGUGCGACCCCGUGUGCACCUUUCUGU